AACCAUUGGAAACGAUGGCUAAUACCGCAUGAUGCCUACGGGCCAAAGAGGGGGACCUUCGGGCCUCUCGCGUCAGGAUAUGCCUAGGUGGGAUUAGCUAGUUGGUGAGGUAAGGGCUCACCAAGGCGACGAUCCCUAGCUGGUCUGAGAGGAUGAUCAGCCACACUGGAACUGAGACACGGUCCAGACUCCUACGGGAGGCAGCAGUGGGGAAUAUUGCACAAUGGGCGCAAGCCUGAUGCAGCCAUGCCGCGUGUGUGAAGAAGGCCUUCGGGUUGUAAAGCACUUUCAGUCGUGAGGAAGGUAGUGUAGUUAAUAGCUGCAUUAUUUGACGUUAGCGACAGAAGAAGCACCGGCUAACUCCGUGCCAGCAGCCGCGGUAAUACGGAGGGUGCGAGCGUUAAUCGGAAUUACUGGGCGUAAAGCGCAUGCAGGUGGUUUGUUAAGUCAGAUGUGAAAGCCCGGGGCUCAACCUCGGAAUAGCAUUUGAAACUGGCAGACUAGAGUACUGUAGAGGGGGGUAGAAUUUCAGGUGUAGCGGUGAAAUGCGUAGAGAUCUGAAGGAAUACCGGUGGCGAAGGCGGCCCCCUGGACAGAUACUGACACUCAGAUGCGAAAGCGUGGGGAGCAAACAGGAUUAGAUACCCUGGUAGUCCACGCCGUAAACGAUGUCUACUUGGAGGUUGUGGCCUUGAGCCGUGGCUUUCGGAGCUAACGCGUUAAGUAGACCGCCUGGGGAGUACGGUCGCAAGAUUAAAACUCAAAUGAAUUGACGGGGGCCCGCACAAGCGGUGGAGCAUGUGGUUUAAUUCGAUGCAACGCGAAGAACCUUACCUACUCUUGACAUCCAGAGAACUUUCCAGAGAUGGAUUGGUGCCUUCGGAAACUCUGAGACAGGUGCUGCAUGGCUGUCGUCAGCUCGUGUUGUGAAAUGUUGGGUUAAGUCCCGCAACGAGCGCAACCCUUAUCCUUGUUUGCCAGCGAGUAAUGUCGGGAACUCCAGGGAGACUGCCGGUGAUAAACCGGAGGAAGGUGGGGACGACGUCAAGUCAUCAUGGCCCUUACGAGUAGGGCUACACACGUGCUACAAUGGCGCAUACAGAGGGCGGCCAACUUGCGAAAGUGAGCGAAUCCCAAAAAGUGCGUCGUAGUCCGGAUUGGAGUCUGCAACUCGACUCCAUGAAGUCGGAAUCGCUAGUAAUCGUGGAUCA
RNAcentral lists this ribosomal RNA (1211 nucleotides) under Vibrio sp. RNAcentral describes it as "bacterial SSU rRNA". It matches the Rfam family "Bacterial small subunit ribosomal RNA", at positions 145 to 1351 of the family's 1533-position model. The record is from RNAcentral. Lineage: Bacteria; Pseudomonadati; Pseudomonadota; Gammaproteobacteria; Vibrionales; Vibrionaceae.